This 1717-nucleotide ribosomal RNA is filed under the name human gut metagenome. RNAcentral describes it as "bacterial LSU rRNA". It matches the Rfam family "Bacterial large subunit ribosomal RNA", at positions 178 to 1992 of the family's 2925-position model. The record is from RNAcentral.
GGGGAACCGCCUGAACUGAAACAUCUAAGUAGGGCGAGGAAGAGACAUCAAACGAGAUUCCGUAAGUAGUGGCGAGCGAACGCGGAAGAGGGCAAACCGAAGGUAGAAAUACCUUCGGGGUACGGAGCGCAUUUAAGACUCAAGUUGUUAACCGAACGGCAUGGGAAGGCCGGUCAGAGAGUGUGAGAACCACGUAGGUGAAAACGGAAAGAGCUGCGCAGAUUCCAGAGUACGGCCAGACACGUGAAACCUGGUCGGAAGAUGGGGGGACCACCCUCCAACCCUAAAUACUACCCAGUGACCGAUAGCGUAUAGUACUGUGAAGGAAAGGUGAAAAGCACCCCGGGAGGGGAGUGAAAAAGAACCUGAAACCCUGUGCCUACAAGCACCUAGAGCACGUCAAAGUGUGAUAGGGUACUUUUUGUAGAACGGUCCGGCGAGCGAUUGUAUGCAGCAAGGUUAAGGACUUAAGGUCUGGAGCCGAAGCGAAAGCGAGUUUGAAAAGGGCGUUAAGUUGCAUAUAAUGGGCCCGAAACCGGGUGACCUACCCAUGGUCAGGUUGAAGUGGAAGUAAAAUUCCAUGGAGGACCGAACCGACCUCCGUUGAAAAGGCGGCGGAUGAACUGUGGGUAGCGGAGAAAUUCCAAUCGAACCCGGAGAUAGCUGGUUCUCCCCGAAAUAGUUUUAGGACUAGCCUCAAGUUAGAUACCUGGAGGUAAAGCACUGAAUAGCCUAGCGGCCGAGAGGUUAGCGAAGCUUAUCAAACUCAGAAUGCCAGAGUAUUGAUGCUUGGGAGUCAGACAGUGUCAGAUAAAUGUCAUUGUCAAAAGGGAAACAGCCCAGAUCUACAGCUAAGGUCCCAAAGUCAGGUUAAGUGGAAAACGAUGUGAAGAUACGCAGACAACCAGGAUGUUGGCUCAGAAGCAGCCACUCAUUCAAAGAGUGCGUAAUAGCUCACUGGUCGAGCGUCUUUGCGCGGAGAAUUUAACGGGGCUAAACCUGACACCGAAGCUUAGGCAAUCCAGUAAUGGAUUGGGUAGGGGAGCGUUGUAUACGCGGAGAAACAGUAGCGUAAGCGGCUGUGGAGUGUAUAGAAGUGAGAAUGCCGGAAUGAGUAGCGCGAAUGCAGUGAGAAUCUGCAUGGCCGAAAGCCUCAGGUUUUUGGAGGAAGGUUCGUCCGCUCCAAGUUAGUCGGGAGCUAAGGUGAGGCCGGAAGGCGUAGCCGAUGCACAGACGGUAGAGAUUCCGUCACCACCAAAAGAGUUAAGCACAGGGACACAUUUGAAGUCUCAGAGCCGGGUGUUGGUUCCGGUAGAGAUCGAGGGAAAUUAGUACCGAAGUCUGAGAUGGAAGAUGGCGAGAAAAGCUGUGUGUAUUUCUGAGGUGCCCGUACCGCAAACCGACACAGGUAGGUAGGAAGAAGAUUCUAAGGCCAACGGGAGAAGGGUUGUUAAGGAACUCGGCAAAUUGACCCCGUAACUUCGGGAGAAGGGGUGCUCCAGAGAUGGAGCCGCAGAGAAUCGGCCCAAGCAACUGUUUACCAAAAACACAGGUUUGUGCUAAAUCGAAAGAUGACGUAUACGAGCUGACGCCUGCCCGGUGCUGGAAGGUUAAGAGGAGAUGUGCAAGCAUUGAAUCGAAGCCCCAGUGAACGGCGGCCGUAACUAUAACGGUCCUAAGGUAGCGAAAUUCCUUGUCAGGUAAGUUCUGACCCGCA